RNAcentral lists this unclassified non-coding RNA (1774 nucleotides) under Hevea brasiliensis (rubber tree). The record is from RNAcentral. Lineage: Eukaryota; Viridiplantae; Streptophyta; Magnoliopsida; Malpighiales; Euphorbiaceae.
UGUGACCUUUGUGUAAUAAUUUUAUCAAACAAACAAACAAAAAAAAUCAUGUGUAUAACAAGUGUUUCUUCUCCUGAACACUGCUAAUUUACACUCAACAAUUUAAUGAGAUACAACAAGGCAUAAAUACAAACCUAAGCUAUCCUUUGGAUAGCAAACAAAAAAAAGAACCCCGCAACCCAGAGAGAAUCCACUCUGAAGCCCUAAAGAAUAUGAUAUUUUUCACAAAAAAAGAAAAAGAAGAUGCACAAAGAUCAAAAUCACCAUGUCAUCUCCGUGAAGGUUCCAAGAUUGGGUUCAUUUCUAUUUCUACAGCUCCAAACUCUCUUCUGCUCCCAAACUUCUCAGCCUCUCUUGUAAUCUGAAUGUCACUAGGACUAAAGUGUUGAUAUAGUACUUUUACAACAAAUCGAGGAAGGAGUGCUGCCACAACUAUAGCUAUAGCAAGCAAAGCCAGAAAGAUCCUUCCUUUGCGAUAUCAAAGAUCGCCCAGUAUCCAACUAAAGUAGGCACAGCAUCAAGGACAAUGACACAAAUGAAAGUCGCAACUAUAGAUCCCCAAAUGGCUACAUGAGUAAUCCAACUCCACCGGAUGACGUCCAUGGCCAAGUGCAAAUUAACNNNNCACUGCAAGCGUCCAAAGAUCUCCUAUACUCGGUGCAUCAAUUGUGCUCCCCCAAUACGCAAGGUGAGGGAUAAAAUAGAUAACCACACUUUGCCACAAAGUGUCAAUCAUCGUUAGCCAAAACAAUUUAGAGUUGUAGCUCUCUUGUCUGCGCUCAGCUCCAUAAAGCUGCGGAUACUUUAGAAGAGUUCUUCUACUUAAGUCCUUAUCCAGAAUACCGACUACAAUGGUAGGCAGUGAAGUAUAAAUUAUAGAAUACAACAUGCUGCUCCAUUCAUUGAUAGCUGUUGUCAAAGUAAAACAGGUAAAGAGCACGUACCAAAAUAAAACAAGAACAAACACCGCAUUCCUGUAAAAAUUAUAUAGUAUCAUGCAGCCCAUCCGCUGGUAAUUCCAAUGUCCAUGCACCAAUAACAGUGGAACUAAGAAUCUAAAUUGCCCCAUUGCAAAAUCUGAUGCCAUUACAGCUUGCCGACCCUCUUUCCCACUGAUGCCAACUCCCACAUCAGCCUUUUGGAUCAUUGAAACAUCGUUAGCACCAUCCCCAAUGGAGAGUGUCAUGUCAGAAGUCCUAUUCUUUACAAGCAUAACAAUUCCAGCUUUCUGCAGUGGAGCAACCCGGCAGCAUAAUACCACUGAACAUUUACUGGCUAAUUCAAAGAGCUGUUCUUCAAGUUCACUGUCAAGUAUAUAAACAAGGCUGGUUCCAUCAAUAAUCAAGGCCACUGGGCUCACAGCAUCUCCAGAAUUUCCUCCAUUGUUGUGUGUUGUCCCAGACACAGUGAUGAGCUUCUUAGACAUGCGCAAGGCAUCUUCUAAACUCUUUCUACUUGACUCCUUAGAGUUGCUAUUGAUAAUAAUCUGUGUCAUUUUACUUGUUAGGAGCUUUGAGGAGUAGCCAAUUGAUAUAGCAGUUUCUUGCUUGUCCCCAGUUAGAACCCAUACUUUAAUCCCCGCUGUUCUAAGAGACUCUAUGGCUUCUGGGACACCUUGCUGUAGUUUAUCUUCAAUGGCAGAAGCACCCAGUAUUCUAAGACUCUUUUCCACAGUGUUAGCAACCUUGCGAAGCAUAGCAGCCCUGCCAAUUAAAGAAGUGCUAGCUGCCUCAAAGGAAGAGUGCCACUGCUCAAAUUCUGAAUCACUCAAUUC